ACGAUGACUCUCGGCAAUGGAUAUCUCGGCUCCUGCAUCGAUGAAGAACGUAGCGAAAUGCGAUACCUGGUGUGAAUUGCAGAAUCCCGUGAACCAUCGAGUCUUUGAAUGCAAGUUGCGCCCGAGGCCACCCGGUCGAGGGCACGCCUGCCUGGGCGUCACGC
This 164-nucleotide ribosomal RNA is filed under the name Pinanga caesia. RNAcentral describes it as "5.8S rRNA". It matches the Rfam family "5.8S ribosomal RNA". Rfam says of the family: 5.8S ribosomal RNA (5.8S rRNA) is a component of the large subunit of the eukaryotic ribosome. Lineage: Eukaryota; Viridiplantae; Streptophyta; Magnoliopsida; Arecales; Arecaceae. The record is from RNAcentral.